Long non-coding RNA from Aethalodelphis obliquidens (Pacific white-sided dolphin), 954 nucleotides. RefSeq lists it as uncharacterized. The record is from RefSeq and is a predicted model, not a curated record. The transcript is spliced from 4 exons. Lineage: Eukaryota; Metazoa; Chordata; Mammalia; Artiodactyla; Delphinidae.
UGGGAUCUUCCCGGACCAGGGCUUGAACCCGUGUCCCCUGCAUUGGCAGGCAGAUUCUUAACCACUGCGCCACCAGGGAAACCCUACUUUGUCAAUUCUGAUCAUUAGAAAAAACUACAAGGCCCUUCUCUGCAGUCACUAUUGGGAAGUAAAGACACACAUCCAUUCAGGAGUGACAGAGGAGCCAAACUUGCUGUUCUUCAAACAGCCAACCAUCAUUUUCUCACUUCAUUUACUGAGUAAUCCACCAUGUCCUAAGAUGAAAGUGUCACUUUCAUCAUACACUACAAAUGUUGUUUCAGGGCUCUCCAUUCCAUUCCAUCUGUUUGUCUGUUUUACUAGCUCUGGCAUGCACUUCGGAUCUGGUAGGGCUAGUCCUUCCUCAUUCUUCUUCUUUUUUAGAAUUUUCCUGGCCAUUCAGCAAGGAUGUGUUUGACUGUCCUGGGUCCUAAGUUUCUGCCGUGUCUUUGUUUAAAUCACUAUGAACCUAAUACACUUGGGCCCUUCCAGUAUCACAUGGACUUAAAUUGAAGAAUGGGUUAAUUUCUUUUCUGUUGUCUUUAGUUGAUUCUGUACAAAAGACAUGGCUCCAGAAAGUAACUCCUGUACGCCUCCUUCAUCACACACCGAAUAAUAACGUUUCAUGGCAGAUAAAUUGGAAAAUUCCGAAAUUCCCAUAAAAAUCACCCAUAAUAUAACGUAACAUCCAGAGACAACUACUGUUCGAAUUCUAGAAAAUAUCCUUCUCUGCUUUUCUUCUCUGCCUGGGAUACAUAUCUACAAGGAUGUCCACAGUAUCAAAAACGAAUUCUGGAUAUCACCUGUGAAACAAGCAUACCUACUCAAACGACCAGAUUCAAAAAUUGUAUCUUCUAGAGAUCAAAAAAUAUUCAAGGGAACAAUGGAGACACAGGUUCGAGCCCUGGUCUGGGAAGAUCCCACAUGAUGCGGAGC